Molecule: long non-coding RNA, 2070 nt
Filed under: Homo sapiens (human)
Lineage: Eukaryota; Metazoa; Chordata; Mammalia; Primates; Hominidae
Description: novel transcript
Source: RNAcentral
AAUCUCUCCUUUGAUGAGACUGUGGCUGAUGCUCUAUACCAGUGAUCCAUGGAUUCCCUGCUUGAUUACACAGAACAGGGCAGGAAAUUAUCCAACUUGCAAGAGAAUGCUAGCUGAAAAUCGUCCCAUCUUAUGGAAAACCGGUAGAAAAUCCAGGAGGUGAAAUGGAGAACAUGUUCAACUGGAGAAUUCUAUUUCUUAUGCAUGUCAAAUAUGUUUCCUUCUCCUGCACUAGCUGUUCCUUCUGCUGGAAGAAUAUUUAUAUGACUGGCUAAACUUACUGUUCAGAUCUGAGAGUAAAUUUGCAUUUCUCAGAGAGUUAGUUCCUGACCACCCAACUCAAAGUACUAACACUCUAUCUAGUCCUUUUCUUGUUUGUUUUUCAUGUUUAUUUUAUUUCCCACCACUAGAAUCUAAGCUUUUUGAGAGCCGGCACUUUGUCCAUCUGGGUCACUGAAUCCCAAUGAGUUAUUCACAGAUGUUUUUAGUACAUAGUAGGUGAAAUGCAUAGAUAAUAUUUCAACUAAGAAAGUGAACAGAAGAAAGUUGGUCAUUGACUUAUUACUAGUAGCUCACUACUCUCUAUGUAUGAAGACAUCACUUACUGAUGGUUAUGAAGCAGAUGCUCAAUAAUUUUUUUUUAAUAAACAGGAGGGCAAGGAGCCAAUGUCGUUUGUAGUGGAGGGUAGUCAUGGACACUGAGAGUAUGUUUUAGACACAAUUUAUCAAUGGCCAGCCUCAGGCUGAGAUAAAAUAUAACAGAGUUUGCCAAGGUCUUUCAUGCCCAGGCAGUCAGUGCUCACAUGUUCCCUGUAACUGCCUGGGUACCUUUCCCUGAGUCAUCAGUCCUGUGUCUUAAUUCUUUUAGUAGCACCUGCAUUCUGCUCCUUUAACCUUCCAUCAAUCAGCUCUUAUAUACUGUACAUCUCUUUCUCAAGAAGCCUUGUGCAACGCAUGGUGAUUUCAACAGUGAUGAAUAUUUCCUUCCCUCUGACUUCUUAUGAAACCAGGAUAAUGAAGCAAAUUAGAAUGUAUUUUAACAUCACUCUCCCUUGUUUGCUGUCCAGCUAAUGAACAGUGGACUGGCUGAAGAAAGACCAGCAUGAAGCAGAAAAAUUGUUUGGUGAAAAAUUCAAGAAUGGGCCAAUAUCCAUUAAAAGAUUGAAAGAGGAGAUGUUUUGGGUCCACCUCCACUGGGGACAGAAAUUCCAUUCUGCCAACACCCCCUCCAUAUCCAUUGUCUGAAAGAGGCACUGCUGUUGAGUCAUAAGUAGGCUCCAGUGGCCCAUGUUGACCCUUUGAAAUUCCCAUGGGACUGUCAAUUCUAUCUAUUCUGGGAGCAGCCAACCAUAGCUAAUUACAGGCCUGUGGUAUUAGUGGAACAAGCUUCAGCUUUUUACAUUGGCUUGAUGGAGAACUGAGUAGAUAUAAAAGUGUUACAUGUUUUUCUGUAAUCAUAAUAACGUAAUCUUGUUUCAUAAUCAUUAAUAAUUCCUAACAUUUAUUGAAGAGUUAAUAUGUGUUGAGUAUUUUUGUAAGUGCUUAACAUGCAGUUUUUAAAAUUUUAACUCCUUUUUACAGAAAAGGUUUACAGAACGCCAGAGGGGUAGGUGAUUUUGCCAGAGCUCUUUUAGGUAAUAGGAAACAAAGCCAUAAAUUUGAUCCCAGCUAGUUUGACCCCAUAGUCCAAGCAUUAAUCCCUGAACCACACUAGCUCUGGCAAGGGUAUAAAUGAGCAGUGAUUACUAACUGACUUAAAACACAAUAGGAAUUAUCCCCAGUGAAUUCCAACAUAUAAAGGGACACUAAUUCUUGCCAUAGAAAAUCUAUUUGAUAAGUAUGAACAAGAAUUCCAAGGUUAUCAAAAAUAAUUUCUAAUAGUUUAAUUCUUUAAAAGAAAUGGUGUAUCUCAUGGACACAGGAAGGGGAACAUCACACUCCGGGGACUGUUGUUGGGUGGGGGGAGCGGGGAGGGAGAGCAUUAGGAGAUAUACCUAAUGCUAAAUGACAAGUUAAUGGGUGCAGCACACCAACGUGGCACAUGUAUACAUAUGUAACAAACCUGCACAU